This 75-nucleotide transfer RNA is filed under the name Candidatus Taylorbacteria bacterium RIFOXYD2_FULL_36_9. Its description in RNAcentral is "tRNA-Arg". It matches the Rfam family "tRNA". Rfam says of the family: Transfer RNA (tRNA) molecules are approximately 80 nucleotides in length. Lineage: Bacteria; Candidatus Tayloriibacteriota. The record is from RNAcentral.
GCCCUCAUAGCUCAAUGGAUAGAGCAAUCCCGUCCUAAGGGAGAGAUGUAAGUUCGAUUCCUACUGGGGGCACAA